RNAcentral lists this ribosomal RNA (254 nucleotides) under uncultured bacterium. Its description in RNAcentral is "partial 16S ribosomal RNA". It matches the Rfam family "Bacterial small subunit ribosomal RNA", at positions 524 to 776 of the family's 1533-position model. The record is from RNAcentral.
UACGUAGGGGACGAGCGUUGUCCGGAGUUACUGGGCGUAAAGCGCCCGCAGGCGGUCCGCUCAGUUUGCGCUGACAGCUCCUGGCUUAACUGGGAGAGCGGUGCGAAGACGGGCGGACUGAGAGGACCAGAGAGGGACAUGGAACUCCGGGUGUAGUGGCGAAAUGCGUAGAUAUCCGGAAGAACACCAAAGGCGAAGGCAGUGUCCUGGCUGGUACCUGACGCUGAGGGGCGAAAGCUAGGGGAGCGAACGGG